RNAcentral lists this long non-coding RNA (3411 nucleotides) under Equus caballus (horse). Its description in RNAcentral is "lncRNA (ENSECAG00000036700.3)". The record is from RNAcentral. Lineage: Eukaryota; Metazoa; Chordata; Mammalia; Perissodactyla; Equidae.
CAGAGAGAGGAUCAGCUGAGGCAAAGGUCAGAGUGUGCAGCUCAUCUCGACUGGAGCUUUCACUCGGCACAGCAGGGGAGGCUGUGGGCUUCCCUCCAGCACCGACAGAACGCUGGGUGCGAAGCCGCUCGGAUGAGGGAUGGUACAACAUCUCCAGCUGUACUGAUGUUCGAGAAUUCUCCCAGGAAUUCUUUUCGCGAUACAUGUCCAGGCACUGGUCUCCAGGGCUUUGUGGGGCCAUUUGUUCCCUGGUCUUCUGGAAGUCUGAGGGUUGUGCAAUUGGCCCAUGCUCCUGUUGGCUUGUUCUUCCAUCAGUGGCUUCACCCCGUGAGUCAUUCCCAAGACCAUGGAAGAGGAGGGGUGUCACUCUAGGCUCUGAGAUGGCCAUCCUCGCCUCUCUUUCUCUGUCUGGGACAGAGGUCGAUUCCUGUACCCAAGUCCCCCGAGGAUCCCUCGCUCCGUGGUCCUGCACCCCCAGGCUGCCUGCAGGGACCCCGCAGGGCUGGUGGAGGGAGAAGGGACGUUCUCCUCGCUGCCACGUCCUGUUUCUCUGAGCGCCCUGAGCAGCAAGUCUUCCCCCAGCGGGGCUCUCACUUGUCCCCCUACUUCCUGAACGACAGAAACCCCAGUUUUGUUGGCGUCGUGCCCAACCUGGAACAGUAUUUUCCAGCUUGCUUGCAGAUAAGAGUGGCCAUGUCUAAGUCUGACCAAGGAGAUGUAAGAGGAGGUUUCCAGACUGUCUCCUGGCAGGUAGCCUUUGCCCUCUGGCCUUUGUCCUCCCCUCCUUCCUGGAGAGAACAAGGACCACGGCAGUGGCUCGGCCACCUUGUGCUAUGCUAUCACCUGGACAACUACCCCUGGACAACCUCGAGUUAGGUAAGAGAAAAACAAAAUCCAUAACUUGAGCUGUUGCAUUCCAGUCUCUGUUACUAGGAUCUGCAUGGAGCCCCUAAGACACGAGCCAUGGUCCCCCCAGCCUCCCCCCUCAGUCUUCGAGGACCGGCACUCCCCCAUCCAUCCUGUUCUGGAGUGGCUGAACGACUACUUGCUUCGACCACCUGGGCAGCCUGUGAUGUUCUGGGACCUCCGUGCCCAUUCGAGUGAAGUUGUAGGACCCCCUGGGGCCUCUUCUGCACCUUGUGAGUGAGCUGUGGAGCUGCCCGGGGACGGUGCUCAGGCCCCCAGGGUCUCCUGUCUGCACCCCGGCAGCUCAGGCAGGGCAGCGGGACUCAGCUGCAAGUCUGCAGGUAGGCGAGCUGUCUGCUCCCCUCCUGGUAGGCCCUCCUGUCCCUACCAGUGACUUCUUGGAGCAUCCCGUUUCAGGGCACAGGGCUUAGAACCGAGGUUCAAGAGUGUGUGCUGCCUGGACACUUGGUAGAGUCGGGAGAGCCUGCAACAGUGCACCUGCAAGUCCCCCUCGGCACUCUGCUCCACCCGAAGGUCCCCCCAAACAGCCUCUUGUCAGAUGGUCCGGAGGCAGCUCCUGCUCAUCCCUGAGCUGCGGGUUUAGUUUCCUGCCCACCCGCAGAACCGUUCACACGGCCAGUCACACUCUCCCACUGGAACCAGGGCACCCCACCCUCCUUACCGCAACGGCCACUGCCCACAGCCCUGCUGGCUCACGCUGUUCCCGAGGGCACCCCCGUGUGGUCCUGUGCCGUGUGCCGUGUCCUCCUCCCCCAGGCCGAGAGCACACAAAUCUCAAGCACAUCCAACCUCCUGUUGGGAGAGAAAAAAAGAAUGAGGGAAAGUAAGGAGGGGAGAAGUCUGUCGAAGUUUGCCCUCCGCCUCCCAUCCAUCGGCCGCGUCAGACAGCUGACAACCUGGCUGCUCCCAAGCUUCAGAGCCAUCUCUCUGCUGUGAAAGGCUGGUCGCAGACCUGGUCUGGAGUUUUCACCCUUCAAGCCAUUAUCUGCUGUGUCAGCAGAGCCGUCGGUUGCAUUCAUAUUCACCACUUUGUUCCCAAGUCUAAUCUGGAAGAUACAAAACACAGAAGUGCCAGGAAUCCGCAAUUAGGCUCGCUGUGCAGCCAUCCUCCCGUGACACAGCUGUUGAUGGAAGCGAAGACCAUCCACGCGGAAACACCAUUGUCCAUUGUCAGUGCCCGUCAGUGCCUCUUUGCGUACUUGUCCCUCUGUGACCACACAGCUGGCCUCUUCCCACCCCUCUAAUGCCCACAGUGAAUCCAGAUCCAAACAAGCAACUUCCUCAGAACAACAGUGAGCCAACCCAACAUGAUGAGCAGGUAACCGGUACCCACGGAGCAUCUCGUCAGGAGGAGGAAAGAGGGCUCGUCUUGUGCACCACACAGCAAAGGCCGUGCUCUCCCCCACCCUCCCUGCCCUCUCUCGGCUCCUCACCGCACUCCUCUUCACCCUCGCAGAUUCUAGGAUCGCCUCUACCGUCCAGAGCUGUUUAGUCCCACGAUGACACAGCUGUCCCCUAUCUCAAUCUGACGCACACAGUUUCCGUCUGUCCUCAUUUCUUCUCUUCCUUCGGAAAACAUCCAAGAUAAGGUCCCCUGUGACUUGUCUGGCAAUUUUGUCCUCGGCCAACCCAGCUUCAGCCCACGGGCUGCAGAGUCUUUUCUCCCCGGCAAACGAGAGCUCCUAAGAUCUCACCGCAGCACCUGGGAGGUGCUGCGUCACUACACGUUGGGACAAAGCAGAUGCCGAAAUAAAGGGAGUCCCGGGCUCCGUGCAGCAGGGUCAUCCACAGACCUGCCGCCUCCAGCUGCUAGCCCACAGGACAGGUCACAAGGAGGACGGGCCGCGCCGUCAUCGCCGGUCCCGAGCCACGAGAGGGGAGACGGGCAGGAGACGCUUCAUCGCCCCCGAGCCCUGCCCAGGGUGGGCCACGGAUGGAGGCCUCCCUCCAGGAGCUGAAGUUCCUUUAAAAACGACAAGCAUUGCUGCCCCUCUCUGAGCCCCGGAGCCUGCCAAGCGCAGAGGGUUAUCUCAGACGUGGGCUGGGGCACCGAGAGCGCUGUUCCACCCGGAAUCGGUUCUCAACACCCUCAAGCCACCAAGACACAAGCAGACGGCAUGUACUCUCACCAGGAGGACGCCGUCCCCACGAGCUGCUCCUGACAAACGUCUGAGCCUGGAGGACUAAGCUGCUAAUUCUCAGGAAACAUCGGACAGAGGGACGGGAUAAGUGAGGUCUGGAGGCAAAGUCUAGAAGAAGCGGGACUCAGACAGAGAAAACCUCGAGAGGACGGGCGAACUGUGACUAGACUGACAACACGCAGAGAGCGAGCGAGAGUGACCUUCCGAUGCGCCGGAGAAGAACCCCGUCUAGAUUUUGACUCAACAAACUGGGAAAGUGCCACUCACGAGACAACUGGGGAAAUCUGAACACUGACUACAUAUAGGUGGUUUUAAGGAAUUUUAAUGAAGUGUUUUAGGUGGG